This 74-nucleotide transfer RNA is filed under the name Desulfoluna spongiiphila. It matches the Rfam family "tRNA". Rfam says of the family: Transfer RNA (tRNA) molecules are approximately 80 nucleotides in length. Their secondary structure includes four short double-helical elements and three loops (D, anti-codon, and T loops). Lineage: Bacteria; Pseudomonadati; Thermodesulfobacteriota; Desulfobacteria; Desulfobacterales; Desulfolunaceae. RNAcentral also lists the same sequence under 1 other name. The record is from Rfam by way of RNAcentral.
CGGGGCGUAGCGCAGCCUGGUAGCGCGCCUGCUUUGGGAGCAGGAUGUCGCAGGUUCGAAUCCUGCCGCCCCGA